GAUGAACGCUAGCGGCAGGCUUAAUACAUGCAAGUCGAGGGGCAUCAAGGUACACGAAAGUGUAUUGUUGGCGACCGGCGGACGGGUGAGUAAUAGGUAGGUAACCUACCUCAUACUGAGGCAUAGCAGGGAGAAAUUCCAGGUAAUUCCUCAUGAGGUUAUAUGACACAUGUGAUAUAAUCAAAGGUAUCGCAAGGUACUGGUAUGAGAUGGGCUUACUGACCAUUAGCUAGUUGGUGAGAUAAGAGCUCACCAAGGCGAAGAUGGUUAGGGGUUUUGAGAGAGAGAUCCCCCACAUUGGAACUGAGAUACGGUCCAGACUCCUACGGGAGGCAGCAGUAGGGAAUAUUGGGCAAUGGGCGGAAGCCUGACCCAGCCAUGCCGCGUGAAGGAAGACGGCCUUAUGGGUUGUAAAACUUCUUUACUAUGCGACUAACUAGAUUUACGAGAUAAUUCUAUAGAAUGUAGCAUAGACAAAAAGCACCGGA
RNAcentral lists this ribosomal RNA (488 nucleotides) under uncultured bacterium. Its description in RNAcentral is "bacterial SSU rRNA". It matches the Rfam family "Bacterial small subunit ribosomal RNA", at positions 28 to 497 of the family's 1533-position model. The record is from RNAcentral.